GUUUUUGAAUGUUGUUUUGUUAGGUGGUUGUUUUUAAUCUAAUUAUGCACGGCAAUGUAUAGCGGCACAAGUUUUCGGUGGACUCCAGAAAGAAUAGCUGUGGUUAUGGCCCCAGCUAAUGGAGAUCCCAAUAAAUCAAAUCUAAUCCAAUAUCCCAGCAACC
Long non-coding RNA from Etheostoma spectabile (orangethroat darter), 163 nucleotides. RefSeq lists it as uncharacterized. The record is from RefSeq and is a predicted model, not a curated record. The transcript has 3 exons. Lineage: Eukaryota; Metazoa; Chordata; Actinopteri; Perciformes; Percidae.